AGAGUUUGAUCCUGGCUCAGGACGAACGCUGGCGGCGUGCCUAACACAUGCAAGUCGAGCGAUGAAGUUCCUUCGGGAAAUGGAUUAGCGGCGGACGGGUGAGUAACACGUGGGUAACUUGCCUUAUAGUGGGGGAUAGCCUUUCGAAAGGAAGAUUAAUACCGCAUAAGAUUGUAGUAUCGCAUGAUAUAGCAAUUAAAGGAGCAAUCCGCUAUAAGAUGGACCCGCGUCGCAUUAGCUAGUUGGUGAGGUAAUGGCUCACCAAGGCGACGAUGCGUAGCCGACCUGAGAGGGUGAUCGGCCACAUUGGGACUGAGACACGGCCCAGACUCCUACGGGAGGCAGCAGUGGGGAAUAUUGCACAAUGGGCGAAAGCCUGAUGCAGCAACGCCGCGUGAGUGAUGACGGCCUUCGGGUUGUAAAACUCUGUCUUCAGGGACGAUAAUGACGGUACCUGAGG
RNAcentral lists this ribosomal RNA (460 nucleotides) under uncultured Clostridium sp. Its description in RNAcentral is "bacterial SSU rRNA". It matches the Rfam family "Bacterial small subunit ribosomal RNA", at positions 8 to 484 of the family's 1533-position model. Lineage: Bacteria; Bacillati; Bacillota; Clostridia; Eubacteriales; Clostridiaceae. The record is from RNAcentral.